Molecule: ribosomal RNA, 450 nt
Filed under: uncultured bacterium
Lineage: Bacteria
Description: bacterial SSU rRNA
Rfam family: Bacterial small subunit ribosomal RNA
Source: RNAcentral
UCAAGAAACUUCCACAAUGGGCGAAAGCCUGAUGGAGCGACGUCGCGUGAUGGACGAAGUGCUUCGGCACGUAAACAUCUUUUAUGUGGGAUGAAAUUAUUGACAGUACCACAUGAAUAAGGGGCUCCUAACUCUGUGCCAGCAGGAGCGGUAAUACAGAGGCCCCAAGCGUUAUCCGGAAUCACUGGGCGUAAAGGGUGUCGAGGCGGUUGUAUUAGUCGUUCGUAAAAUCUACGAGCUUAACUUGUAGGCGGCGAACGAAACGGUACGACUUGAGGUUUGGAGAGGUGCGUGGAACUCACGGUGUAGGGGUGAAAUCCGUUGAUAUCGUGGGGAACACCAAAGGCGAAGGCAGCGCACUGGCCAAAAUCUGACGCUCACACACGAAAGCUAGGGUAGUGAAGAGGAUUAGAUACCCCUGUAGUCCCUGAGCGGGCUGGCAAGGCGCAU